RNAcentral lists this ribosomal RNA (301 nucleotides) under uncultured bacterium. RNAcentral describes it as "partial 16S ribosomal RNA". It matches the Rfam family "Bacterial small subunit ribosomal RNA", at positions 509 to 808 of the family's 1533-position model. The record is from RNAcentral.
CAGUCGCCGCGGUAAAACGUAGGUCCCGAGCGUUGUCCGGAUUUAUUGGGCGUAAAGCGAGCGCAGGCGGUUAGAUAAGUCUGAAGUUAAAGGCUGUGGCUUAACCAUAGUACGCUUUGGAAACUGUUUAACUUGAGUGCAAGAGGGGAGAGUGGAAUUCCAUGUGUAGCGGUGAAAUGCGUAGAUAUAUGGAGGAACACCGGUGGCGAAAGCGGCUCUCUGGCUUGUAACUGACGCUGAGGCUCGAAAGCGUGGGGAGCAAACAGGAUUAGAUACCCCAGUAGUCCCUGUCUCUUAUACA